UCCUCGAUGAUCUGUGGGCAGAUGAAAUGGACAUGCGUGUCGAUGGCGCCCGCCGUCAGGAUCUUGCCCUCGCCGCCGAUCACCUCCGUACCGGGACCAACGAUGAUGUCGACCCCGGGCUGGACGUCGGGAUUGCCUGCCUUGCCGAUCCCGGCAAUGCGGCCAUCCUUGAUCGCCACGUCAGCCUUGAUGAUCCCCCAGUGGUCGAUGAUGAUGACGUUGGUGAUGACCGUGUCGACCGCACCGUCCUGGCGGGUCACCUGGCUUUGGCCCAUGCCGUCGCGGA
RNAcentral lists this small RNA (286 nucleotides) under Arboricoccus pini. Its description in RNAcentral is "Arboriscoccus pini 5' ureB small RNA". It matches the Rfam family "5' ureB small RNA". Lineage: Bacteria; Pseudomonadati; Pseudomonadota; Alphaproteobacteria; Geminicoccales; Geminicoccaceae. The record is from Rfam by way of RNAcentral.